Manis pentadactyla (Chinese pangolin) is the source of this 3531-nucleotide RNA transcript. It is a transcript of the gene named coiled-coil domain containing 92B, with no coding region annotated. The record is from RefSeq and is a predicted model, not a curated record. Lineage: Eukaryota; Metazoa; Chordata; Mammalia; Pholidota; Manidae. The transcript has 5 exons.
CGCUCCCCCCUCCCGGUCCCCCCUACAGCUCGUUCGCCAGUUCCGGUCACGUUGCUGGGUGUUUACGCCUGGAGCCCGCCCCGGACCCCCGCUGGGCGCCCCGGACCCCUCUGGAGCCCCGGCCCGACCGCCCCGCAGCCUCACAGCAGCUGAUGGCGCCGCAACCGAGGCGGGCGCUGCGGAACCCCGGGCGCAGCUAGCGCAGGGAAGAGCGCCUCCCCCUACCCAGCCGGGCCGGACCGAGGGCCCCGCUGGCCCGUCGCUCCCUCAGGUCCCGAAGGUGGGGCCCAGGUUUGGAUUGCCAUGGAUACCGUGUCCCUGGAGCGUCAGAUCCAGAGCGUUCAACGCCACAUCAGCUUCCUGAAAAAGGAGCAGAUGGCCCUGCUGCGAGACCUGCACCUGGAAAUAUUGAGGCUGCAGAAACGCUGCUCAGAACUGACUCAUGACCUGGAGAUGAGAGAGGCCCAAUCUCACCAGCAAGAGGCGGCGUCCCGGGAGCUGGAGAACAAGUGCCGCGCGCUGGAGUCGCAGCUGGCUGCGCGGAGCGCGGCCAACGCCGAGCUGCGACGGGAGGUGGCGCAGCGCGAGGCGCUGGUAUCCGCGCUGCGCUGCAGCCUGCGUGCCGAAGAGCGGCGCUUCUUGGAGGAGCUUCGUCGCCGCAGCCACCGAGCCACCGUGCUGGGCACCGAGCUGCAGAAGCACACGGAGGCGGCCGCCUACCUCUCCUGCCAGCUGCACGCGGCGCGUCAGAGACUGCAGACUCCGCGCCCGGGCCUCGGCGCCGCCGCCGAGCCUCGGCCCCGCCGGCGCGCACAGCGGGCCCGCCGCCCGCCCGCCGAGGCCUCCGCCAGGGGCCCGGGCCGGGACUGGGCUGCCUGGGACCGCGCGGCCGGCGUCCUGGCCGACGCCGACCCCAUGCCCGACCCUGCGCUCUUUCUCUGCGCCCGGAGGCCCCCGCCGCCCGGCGGCCGCACUCCGCGGCCGCCGCCGUCGCAGGAGCCUCCGGACCAAGCCAGCCUGCCCAGCGCGCCUGGGGACCCGGAGUAGGAGCGGGCCUGGCGGGGUGGGCCGCCCGGCUGGGGACGCAGCUCGGGCCGCGCAGUCAGGUCCCGGGGGCCGAGGGCGCCCGCCCUCCUCCGAGGAGCAGGCGGAGGCAGCCCCGACUCCCCACCGCUUCCAACCGCCCCCGCCUUUUGUGUUUCCCAACGUUUCGGAAGCUUCGAGCUCCCCUCUCCCGUAAGGGAGCUCCUUUGCGGGGCUGCGCGAUGCGCCUUGUUUGUGAAGAGGACUCGCAGUUCCUGUCCUUAUCCGCCCCCAACCCUGCCACUGGGAGGGGAGGGGGCGGGAGUCAGUCCCUGCCCCGGGAAGCCGACAAUCGUUCAGCGGGGAGGGGAAGGCUGGGCUGGCCUACGGAAGGAACUCAGCGUGGCAUUUAGCACCCCUAGGCCUUCCAGCUCCCCACUCUGACCUCCCCCAGCCCCGCACGGCAGCCCUUCCUUCCCCCCAAGCCUUUAUCCGAGGGGCGGCUCGGGUUAGGGGCUAGAGGCUGGACAUUUUCCUCGGAAGCCGCGUCCCCUACCCUCACCCCACUGAUAGGUCCUUACAGAUCCUGCCCUGGCUGAGGCCCAGCAUCCUGGUGACUGGGAGGGGAGCAGAGUCAAUCUCCAGGGAUAAUGAACCCUUGUACCAUCACACCCCCCAUGAUGAAGAGGGGGAAUCACCAGUCAUAUCCUCCUUCACUCUGUACAUUAGUGUGGGAAAUCAGCAAGAAGCAGAACCAGUGAGCGCACGCCCAGCCCACACAGCGCUGUGCCCUCCUGCUGCCCACACUCAGGCCUGCUGAGACCACUGGGCAAUGACCAGGCUGGUCUGGGGAUCCAGCCCCUGGAACGCUGACAGCCAAGUCGUGGGCACCCUGGGGACAGACAGUGCUCUCCAGUCUGAUGUGGGCUGCACUGGUGGCCCCGGGACCUUACUCUGCCUGCCCCCUCCUCUACCCCUCACCCCUCCAUCUUUGUGGCUGUGCCUCUGCCCUCUGUGUCUCCAAGUGUGACUCACUGUACCCCUCAUCCUGUUGCCUCCCUUUCUGAAGUGUCCAUGUGAGGAGGCCUAUCUCCUCUCAGCUACACUCUCUUGAAGGGGCCCAGAGGACUGUGGGGAGGAGGGGAAAGGGUGUCUUCUCAGAAGAGCCCACCCAGCCCUGCAGCUGCACUUUCACAGCCACACUUUUGGAGUGAACAGGGUGACUUUGUUAUGUUGAUUCUUCUGCAGAGAAGGUGAAGUACUUUGUCCACCCUCCCACCCACUAAAAGCCAUAGUUCUCCCACCUGUCCUCCCCACAAAGCUCUAUAGCAAUAGCCCUCUUCUCCUCUCCCUCCUGGGUACUUGGGGUGUCCUGCUGGGGGUCCCCACUGCAGGGAGCUCCUGGUGGCCUGCCUGCUUCUCCCCAAGUGACCCCAUCAACACCUCCCAACUCCUGUCCCUCUUCCAUCAGCUGGAGAUAAUGACAAUUUGCCAGGUGCUUGAAGAUCCCCCAGGUGAAAGGCUCGGCUGGGCCUGCUGACUUGUUGUCAGCGGAGAUGUUGGGGUGCCUGGGAAAGGAAAUAAGGCACCCUUCCAUGCUCCACUCAGCAAGCUGGGGAAGGGCUGAGACACAUACAGGGGCCCAAUUUUAAAACAAGUUUCUCUCCUAGAAAUAAUGAUCUAGAGACUUUCCUCUACCUGCCUGCACCUGGGUUUGCAACAGAACCCUCAGUGCACCAGAAUGGGACUGGAAAUGAGUUGCCAGCCCUUGGUCUCAGGGCCCCCAAACUCCUCAGCCUUGGGGCCUGGGAGAGACCCCACCCUCACCUUCUGGCUCUCUUCCUCCCCUAGCCACAGCACCCAGCUGGCCAAAGGAAAGACCUGGCACAAUUCCCUGGAUUGUCUGGGUGACUAAAAGGGAUAGGAUUGUGUGUCUCCUCCCCUCUGUUCUGCAGCAGGAAUUUCCAUUGGGGGAGGGGCAUGUUGGCACAGACACUUGGGCUUUAGUUGGAGCUCCAGCCACACCCCUGCUAUGGACAGCCCCAGGAAGGAGAGCUGUAGGUGGGAUCCCCUCCCUAUUCUGGAAGCCAGCUAGGGACCAGUGGGCAAUGCAGCAGAGGCUCUGCACCCCAGCCCUCCAUAUCCCACCCCCAGUGGCUUGCAGUUUGGGGAACCAGUCCAGGGCUGAAAUGGGUAGACCUUCCCCAAACCUGUGGACAGGAAGGAGGCCAAGAGGGUGCAGAGCAGCAUCUCCUCAGCACAGACAGCUGGGGACCUCUAAGCACCCUUGCUGAAGUGCCAGCCUUGAGUGGGGGACACAGGGCUUCAGAACCACCUGGCCGAAGCCCCAGGGGCAGGGCAGAGGGAUCCUGCUCCAGAUUCUCUGUUGGCUGCGCUUUUCAAUCCAGUGCAUUUCAGAGUGUAUUCACUCACCCACAGAAAUAGAGCCUUGUGCUUUAGGGGUGACUGUCAUAUGCCUUAUUCUUAAUAAAAUAGCUCAAAAAAACA